CACGGAGUUAGCCGGUGCUUAUUCUUCUGGUACCUUCAGCUACUUACACGUAAGUAGGUUUAUCCCCAGAUAAAAGCAGUUUACAACCCAUAGGGCCGUCUUCCUGCACGCGGGAUGGCUGGAUCAGGCUUCCACCCAUUGUCCAAUAUUCCUCACUGCUGCCUCCCGUAGGAGUCUGGUCCGUGUCUCAGUACCAGUGUGGGGGAUCACCCUCUCAGGCCCCCUAAAGAUCGUCGCCUUGGUGAGCCGUUACCUCACCAACUAGCUAAUCUUGCGCGUGCCCAUCUCUAUCCACCGUAGUUUUCAAUAUCACCCGAUGCCGAAUAAUAUAUUAUGGGGUAUUAAUCUUCCUUUCGAAAGGCUAUCCCCCUGAUAAAGGCAGGUUGCACACGUGUUCCGCACCCGUACGCCGCUCUCAAUUACCCGAAAGUAAUCUACCGCUCGGCUUGCAUGUGUUAGGCCUCCCGCUAGCGUUCAUCCUGAGCCAGGAUCAAACUCU
RNAcentral lists this ribosomal RNA (499 nucleotides) under uncultured Elizabethkingia sp. RNAcentral's name for it is "partial 16S ribosomal RNA". Lineage: Bacteria; Pseudomonadati; Bacteroidota; Flavobacteriia; Flavobacteriales; Weeksellaceae. The record is from RNAcentral.